Molecule: ribosomal RNA, 206 nt
Filed under: uncultured bacterium
Lineage: Bacteria
Description: partial 16S ribosomal RNA
Rfam family: Bacterial small subunit ribosomal RNA
Source: RNAcentral
AGCGUAGACGGUGUGGCAAGUCUGAUGUGAAAGGCAUGGGCUCAACCUGUGGACUGCAUUGGAAACUGUCAUACUUGAGUGCCGGAGAGGUAAGCGGAAUUCCUAGUGUAGCGGUGAAAUGCGUAGAUAUUAGGAGGAACACCAGUGGCGAAGGCGGCUUACUGGACGGUAACUGACGUUGAGGCUGAAAGCGUGGGGAGCAAACA